UUAUUUAUUUGCCUACAAUUAUUAAUUCCAUGACAAAAUUUUCAAAGAAAUAUUUUUAUAAUGUUAAUAACAUUACUGAGUAUAAUAUUUUUAUAUCGUUAUAGUAAGUAUUAUCGAUAUAUUAAAUAACCUUUCAAAUAUUAUUUGAAGAACUUAUCAAUUUUGUGUAAUUGUGUAAUUGUGUGAUAUAGAAGAAUUAUUAAUCUUAUCAUUAUAUAUUUCUAAAAUUUCGAAUGCGGCUACGGCACAAGAUGCUAAUACAAAUUUAAUAUAUUUUGAUAAAUCAAAUAAGAGCCUUUAUGAAAUAUAUCCUGUAUUGAUUUCACCAAAUUGGGUAAAUACAUCUAUACAUAUAUAUGUUACAAAUUUGCCUAAAAGAUACAUUGUUAUUAGAUAAAUUACAGUCGCAUAUAAGCGAUUGUAACAAUUAUCCUUGUAUGUUUUCGAAAGUCAUCGAAAAUGAAUCAAUGAAAUCUGUUAUAUCUAUAAUACGAAAUGAUACAAUGGAUGAUAUAUUCAAUCAAGAAUUCAAACAAAGUAUACAAGAUUGUUUAAUAUGGUGGAAAUUAUUCAAACAUUUUAACAAGAAUGCAAAUCCUCGUCGCGAAUUAGGAAGAUGCUUGUUUCAAACGUUCUCAUCUAAAUGCAGAGAAUCCGUUUUGGAUAAAGUAAAAUUACUGUUAAUUACCACAAAAGAAGAAUAAAAUAUUAUCUAAAUUGAAGUAUAAGGAUAAUUGGAAAAUAUGGAUAAAUGGAAAAAGA
Apis cerana (Asiatic honeybee) is the source of this 762-nucleotide long non-coding RNA. RefSeq lists it as uncharacterized. The record is from RefSeq and is a predicted model, not a curated record. Lineage: Eukaryota; Metazoa; Arthropoda; Insecta; Hymenoptera; Apidae.